AAAGAAUUAGUUAAACUUAAUAACCUAAAUUUGUCAAAUUUAAAUUAUAAAUAUUUUUAUAUUCUUUU
Molecule: transfer RNA, 68 nt
Filed under: Aoteapsyche colonica
Lineage: Eukaryota; Metazoa; Arthropoda; Insecta; Trichoptera; Hydropsychidae
Description: tRNA-Asp
Source: RNAcentral